Molecule: ribosomal RNA, 253 nt
Filed under: uncultured Methanomassiliicoccales archaeon
Lineage: Archaea; Methanobacteriati; Thermoplasmatota; Thermoplasmata; Methanomassiliicoccales
Description: partial 16S ribosomal RNA
Rfam family: Archaeal small subunit ribosomal RNA
Source: RNAcentral
UACCCGCGCCCCUAGGGGUGGUCGAUAUUAUUGAGCCUAAAACGUCCGUAGCCGGUCGUCUAAAUCCGUGGGUAAAUCGGGCAGCUUAACUGUCCGAAGUCCGGGGAGACUGGGAGACUUGGGACCGGGAGAGGUCAGAGGUACUUCUGGGGUAGGGGUAAAAUCCUGUAAUCCUGGAAGGACCACCGGUGGCGAAGGCGUCUGACUAGAACGGAUCCGACGGUGAGGGACGAAGCCCUGGGGCGCAAACGGG